Humulus lupulus (European hop) is the source of this 603-nucleotide long non-coding RNA. RefSeq lists it as uncharacterized. The transcript has 2 exons. Lineage: Eukaryota; Viridiplantae; Streptophyta; Magnoliopsida; Rosales; Cannabaceae. The record is from RefSeq and is a predicted model, not a curated record.
AAGAAGAGAGAAGAGAUGAAAGGGGAAGACCCAAGUGUGUCUUGGGGCGAAUCAAUAAACCGAGGUGGAGCCAAAAUGAGGUCAUCGAGAUCUAGGGCACAAGGUGUAUAUCAAGCUUGUCGUAAGCAUUGUGAUUGUGGGGCAGAAACAGUAGAGAGGACAUCAUGGACCGAUGAUAAUCCAGGGAGACGGUUCAAAUCUUGCUAUAGGAUGAAAUGGAAUGGGGGUUGUAACUAUUUCCAAUGGAUUGACCCCCCUAUGUGUGAAAGGUCAAAGAUGGUGAUACCUGGUUUGCUAAGAAGAGUACGUGAGUUUGAUGGUGAUCUGGGCAGAUAUUAUGAAUAUGAAGAUAGAUAUGAGUCUUGCUUUGAACCUAGUGUGGAGCCUUUUCAAUGUCAAAAUUGUGGCUAUAUGAAUGGGAGUUUGGAUGGAAGAGUUCAUGCAAGUUCCUGGUUGGUAAAGGGAAAUGUGAGGAAGAUGAUGUUGUUUUUUUUUUUUUUUGUAAUUGUGUAUUGGCUGAAAAAUAUUAUGUAAUGUUCGACUUCCCUGUUUAUUGUAUUUAGUGUUGCUUUCAAGCAUAAUAAAAAUUAUGUAUUUUAUUUA